This 253-nucleotide ribosomal RNA is filed under the name uncultured bacterium. RNAcentral's name for it is "partial 16S ribosomal RNA". It matches the Rfam family "Bacterial small subunit ribosomal RNA", at positions 524 to 776 of the family's 1533-position model. The record is from RNAcentral.
UACGAAGGGGGCUAGCGUUGCUCGGAAUCACCGGGCGUAAAGGGUGCGUAGGCGGGUCUUUAAGUCAGGGGUGAAAUCCUGGAGCUCAACUCCAGAACUGCCUUUGAUACUGAAGAUCUUGAGUUCGGGAGAGGUGAGUGGAACUGCGAGUGUAGAGGUGAAAUUCGUAGAUAUUCGCAAGAACACCAGUGGCGAAGGCGGCUCACUGGCCCGAUACUGACACUGAGGCACGAAAGCGUGGGGAGCAAACAGG